CAGCAGCCACGGGAAUACAGAGGGUGCGAGCGUUAAUCGGAUUUACUGGGCGUAAAGCGUGCGUAGGCGGCUUUUUAAGUCGGAUGUGAAAUCCCUGAGCUUAACUUAGGAAUUGCAUUCGAUACUGGGAAGUUAGAGUAUGGGAGAGGAUGGUAGAAUUCCAGGUGUAGCGGUGAAAUGCGUAGAGAUCUGGAGGAAUACCGAUGGCGAAGGCAGCCAUCUGGCCUAAUACUGACGCUGAGGUACGAAAGCAUGGGGAGCAAACAGGAUUAGAUACCCCGGUAGUCCCUGUCUCUUAUAA
Molecule: ribosomal RNA, 301 nt
Filed under: uncultured bacterium
Lineage: Bacteria
Description: partial 16S ribosomal RNA
Rfam family: Bacterial small subunit ribosomal RNA
Source: RNAcentral